GACGAACGCUGGCGGCGUGCUUAACACAUGCAAGUCGAACGCUGAAGCUCAGCUUUUGUUGGGUGGAUGAGUGGCGAACGGGUGAGUAACACGUGAGUAACCUGCCCCCUUCUUUGGGAUAACGCCCGGAAACGGGUGCUAAUACUGGAUAUUCACUGGUCUUCGCAUGGGGGUUGGUGGAAAGGGUUUUUCUGGUGGGGGAUGGGCUCGCGGCCUAUCAGCUUGUUGGUGGGGUGAUGGCCUACCAAGGCUUUGACGGGUAGCCGGCCUGAGAGGGUGACCGGUCACAUUGGGACUGAGAUACGGCCCAGACUCCUACGGGAGGCAGCAGUGGGGAAGAUUGCACAAUGGGCGCAAGCCUGAUGCAGCGACGCCGCGUGAGGGAUGGAGGCCUUCGGGUUGUGAACCCCUUUCGCUCAUGGUCAAGCCGCAACAAUGGUUGUGGUGAGGGUAGUGGGUAAAGAAGCGCCGGCUAACUACGUG
This 483-nucleotide ribosomal RNA is filed under the name uncultured bacterium. RNAcentral's name for it is "partial 16S ribosomal RNA". It matches the Rfam family "Bacterial small subunit ribosomal RNA", at positions 28 to 507 of the family's 1533-position model. The record is from RNAcentral.